GCGUAGGUGAGGGUUACUUCGACUUCGGAUCGAGAGAUGGCGGGUUCGAGUCCCGUCCAACCGCG
RNAcentral lists this transfer RNA (65 nucleotides) under Chloroflexota bacterium. RNAcentral describes it as "tRNA-Ser". The record is from RNAcentral. Lineage: Bacteria; Bacillati; Chloroflexota.